RNAcentral lists this ribosomal RNA (453 nucleotides) under uncultured bacterium. Its description in RNAcentral is "bacterial SSU rRNA". It matches the Rfam family "Bacterial small subunit ribosomal RNA", at positions 43 to 524 of the family's 1533-position model. The record is from RNAcentral.
CAGGCCUAACACAUGCAAGUCGAACGGAAUUUCUGUAGAUUAAACCCUACGGGAGUUUAGUGGCAGACGGGUGAGUAAUGCGUAGGAAUCUGCCUGAUAGUAUGGGAUAGCUGUUAGAAAUGACAGGUAAUACCGUAUAAUCCCUAUGGGGGAAAGAUUUAUCGCUAUCAGAUGAGCCUACGUUAGAUUAGCUUGUUGGUAGGGUAAAGGCCUACCAAGGCAAUGAUCUAUAGCUGGUCUGAGAGGACGAUCAGCCACACUGGAACUGAGAUACGGUCCAGACUCCUACGGGAGGCAGCAGUGGGGAAUAUUGGACAAUGGGCGCAAGCCUGAUCCAGCCAUGCCGCAUGAGUGAAGAAGGCUUUAGGGUUGUAAAACUCUUUUAGUGGGGAAGAUAAUGACGGUACCCACAGAAAAAGUCCCGGCAAACUCCGUGCCAGCAGCCGCGGUAAU